This 470-nucleotide ribosomal RNA is filed under the name uncultured bacterium. RNAcentral's name for it is "bacterial SSU rRNA". It matches the Rfam family "Bacterial small subunit ribosomal RNA", at positions 28 to 507 of the family's 1533-position model. The record is from RNAcentral.
GACGAACGCUGGCGGCGCGCCUAACACAUGCAAGUCGAACGGAGCUUAGAGAGCUUGCUUUUUAAGCUUAGUGGCGAACGGGUGAGUAACGCGUGAGUAACCUGCCCUAGAGUGGGGGACAACAGUUGGAAACGACUGCUAAUACCGCAUAAGCCCACGGUACCGCAUGGCACUGAGGGAAAAGGAUUUAUUCGCUUUAGGAUGGACUCGCGUCCAAUUAGCUAGUUGGUGAGGUAACGGCCCACCAAGGCGACGAUUGGUAGCCGGACUGAGAGGUUGAACGGCCACAUUGGGACUGAGACACGGCCCAGACUCCUACGGGAGGCAGCAGUGGGGGAUAUUGCACAAUGGGGGAAACCCUGAUGCAGCAACGCCGCGUGGAGGAAGAAGGUUUUCGGAUCGUAAACUCCUGUCCUUGGAGACGAGUAGAAGACGGUAUCCAAGGAGGAAAGCCCCGGCUAAACUACGUG